Long non-coding RNA from Propithecus coquereli (Coquerel's sifaka), 791 nucleotides. RefSeq lists it as uncharacterized. The record is from RefSeq and is a predicted model, not a curated record. The transcript has 4 exons. NCBI's taxonomy places the organism in Eukaryota, Metazoa, Chordata, Mammalia, Primates, Indriidae.
CUUGCUGGUGUUGAGCAUAGGGUUGCGGGUGUCUUCCUGGUACCUGCUGCGGAGCCCACUGCCGAGCGAGGGGGGGCGGCAGGCUCCUGCGUCCGGCGCCGCCUUUGCACAGCAGUCCGUGCGCGGGUACCUCCGAGCCCGGCUGGAGGGAGGGGACUGCAGGCCUCGGCCGACCUAGAUGAACAACCGCUGCAGAGUAGUUCGUGAUGUCUGCCUGACGCCACUGCUUGGAACUGACCUAGGUCAGGUCGGGGAACUCAGCUGGAAUCGCCCCGACCUCUGCUGACUCGUUAGUAUCUUCCCAAGCUUCUGAUCCUCGCGACGCCAUGAUGGAGUUGUUAAGACGUCUGUUGGUGUGUUGUCCUUGAAUAAAGAAUGAGAGAUCUGGAAGCCCAGCCAGGGGCAAUGCCCCUUCACAGAUUCUGCACUAACCUGAUGGCCAAAGGCCUAAAGUUUGGAACCUACUCCUUUGGGGACUUGCUUUUGGGAAGGCUGUGAUGCCUAGAUGAUGGUUCCUGCUGCUUGACCUUCAGGCUGUGCUGAGCCAUGCCCUUUCUCCCUGUUUGCUGUGGAUUUUGCUGACACAAAGGAUGUCCUCUAGUUGGUGUUGAACAGAUCCUAGGAACUUCUUUCCUGUAUUGAUCUCUGUGAAUAGCUAUAAUCUUAUUGGAGAAAAAGUUACUUAGAAAUUUGGGGGCACUUACCUGUCAAGUAGAUAGCUUUCACUUGCAUUUGCUUUAUCUCGUGCAACAACCUGGUUUUAUCUGAAAGACUCCAAUAAAAUAUUUUAA